GUAGGUGGCAAGCGUUGUCCGGAAUUAUUGGGCGUAAAGCGCGCGCAGGCGGUUCUUUAAGUCUGAUGUGAAAGCCCACGGCUCAACCGUGGAGGGUCAUUGGAAACUGAAGGACUUGAGUACAGAAGAGGAAAGCGGAAUUCCACGUGUAGCGGUGAAAUGCGUAGAGAUGUGGAGGAACACCAGUGGCGAAGGCGGCUUUCUGGUCUGUAACUGACGCUGAGGCGCGAAAGCGUGGGGAGCAAACAGGAUUAGAUACCCUGGUAGUCCACGCCGUAAACGAUGAGUGCUAAGUGUUAGGGGGGUUUCCGCCCCCCUUAGUGCUGCGGCUAACGCAUUAAGCACUCCGCCUGGGGAUACGGCCGCAAGGCUG
RNAcentral lists this ribosomal RNA (373 nucleotides) under uncultured organism. RNAcentral describes it as "partial 16S ribosomal RNA". It matches the Rfam family "Bacterial small subunit ribosomal RNA", at positions 527 to 896 of the family's 1533-position model. The record is from RNAcentral.